GGUUUCGUGAUGUAAUGGUUAGCAUCUGAGAUUCUGAUUCUCAUUAUCCGAGUUCAAAUCUCGGCGAGACCU
Molecule: transfer RNA, 72 nt
Organism: Phycomyces blakesleeanus NRRL 1555(-)
Lineage: Eukaryota; Fungi; Mucoromycota; Mucoromycetes; Mucorales; Phycomycetaceae
Rfam family: tRNA
About the family: Transfer RNA (tRNA) molecules are approximately 80 nucleotides in length. Their secondary structure includes four short double-helical elements and three loops (D, anti-codon, and T loops).
Source: Rfam